UAAUAAGUGUUUUAUGGCACUUUUUAAAUCCAUGUCCACCUUGUGCGCAAUGUCAGUCGAUCUUCUUCAUGGAGAUCGACCAAACAUCAACCUUUAUCUUUUAACUCUUUGUCUGAAAAAUAUUAUGAAUAAACAAUUCAAAAUA
RNAcentral lists this unclassified non-coding RNA (145 nucleotides) under soil metagenome. RNAcentral's name for it is "partial internal transcribed spacer 1". The record is from RNAcentral.